Molecule: ribosomal RNA, 253 nt
Filed under: uncultured bacterium
Lineage: Bacteria
Description: partial 16S ribosomal RNA
Rfam family: Bacterial small subunit ribosomal RNA
Source: RNAcentral
UACGGGGGGGGCAAGCGUUGUUCGGAAUUACUGGGCGUAAAGCGCACGUAGGCGGAUCGUUAAGUCGGGGGUUAAAUCCUGGAGCUCAACUCCAGAACUGCCUUCGAUACUGGCGAUCUUGAGUCCGGAAGAGGUGAGUGGAACUCCUAGUGUAGAGGUGGAAUUCGUAGAUAUUAGGAAGAACACCGGUGGCGAAGGCGGCCCACCGGAUCGGUACUGACGCUGAGGUGCGAAAGCGUGGGGAGCAAACAGG